UACGAAGGGGGCUAGCGUUGUUCGGAAUUACUGGGCGUAAAGCGUGCGCAGGCGGCUUCUCAAGUCAGGGGUGAAAGCCCAGAGCUCAACUCUGGAAUUGCCUUUGAGACUGAGUGGCUUGAGUACGAGAGAGGUGAGUGGAAUUCCCAGUGUAGAGGUGAAAUUCGUAGAUAUUGGGAAGAACACCGGUGGCGAAGGCGGCUCACUGGCUCGUAACUGACACUCAUGCACGACAGCGUGGGGAUCAAACAGG
RNAcentral lists this ribosomal RNA (253 nucleotides) under uncultured bacterium. RNAcentral's name for it is "partial 16S ribosomal RNA". It matches the Rfam family "Bacterial small subunit ribosomal RNA", at positions 524 to 776 of the family's 1533-position model. The record is from RNAcentral.